This 1755-nucleotide long non-coding RNA is filed under the name Lonchura striata (white-rumped munia). RNAcentral's name for it is "domestica (Bengalese finch) lncRNA (ENSLSDG00000017923.1)". The record is from RNAcentral. Lineage: Eukaryota; Metazoa; Chordata; Aves; Passeriformes; Estrildidae.
UGACGAGGUCACGGGGGGCUGGCCCGCAGCCAGGCUGGGCUGCCAUGCUGCUCUGGCAGUGCCUGCCCGGGAGCCCAUCACAUCCUCGGGCACUCACAGGAUUUCUGCAGCUCUGGGCGGCUCCUCUGGCUGCUCUGCUCUGCUCUAGGAGCCCGUCCUCGGAGCUGCUGCAGCCUCCCGACAUAAACCCCGCUUUGUUGGGCCGAGAUGACCCGGCUGAGCCGCAUGAUCCGUCAGGUGACAGCUGGGCACCAGAGCGAGGAGAAUGAGCGGCGGGGCGAGGGCGCCGGCUGCUUUCCUGCCUCUGCACAGGCUCUGCUGCUCCUCGGGGGAAAAUGAGCGCCUGGCUCUGUCCUGUGCUGUGCAGCUUCACCGCGGUGUGUUUAGCAGGUAUUGCUUUUGGCCAGACAACCAGCACUGAGGUCCCAGUUACAUCAACCCCAGCACCUGCCAGUGCAACCAGCACUGAGGUUCCCAUUGCAUCCACCCCAGCACNCCAGUGCAACCAGCACUGAGGUUCCCAUUGCAUCCACCCCAGCACCUCCCAGUGCAACCACUGCUACGGCCUCUUCUCCCCCAACUGCUCCUGCAACACUCUCAGCUGGACUGACACCAACCACUGCAAACCCUGCUGCAUCCACAGCAGCUCCAUCUGCUGAUCCAAGCACAAAAACCCCUGCCCAGACUCUGCCCCCCACCACGGGGACCGUCCCCACCUCUGGCAGCAGGGCCACCUCUCAGGCAUCUUCAGCAGUGACGGCCACAUCCAGCAGUGCCCCAGUGUCCCCUCCAGGAGUGACCACAUCCCCUGGGCUCCCCAGCACCCCCCAGCCCUCCAACUGCAGCAGAGUGAAUGUGACAGCCUGUGCCCCCUGCCCCCCAGGGACUGUCCCCACCCAAGGCACCUUGAGCUGUUCGUGCUGCGCGGGGGGCUCGUGCAUUGGCCCCAGUGCCUGCAGCCCCUGCCCACCUGGCCACUACCAGCCCCAAAGUGGGCAACCAUCCUGCCUGCCCUGCUCACAGGGGUAUUACACCAGGCUAUUUUAGCUCCAAGCAAAAUGCAGCUUUUUGUCUGCCUUGCCAGCCAGGAUCAUUUUGCAACACCAGCAGCUGCUCGGCCUGUCAGUCCUGCCCCGGCGGGCAGGAGGCUCCUCGGGAGGCGUCGGAGGGCUGCGAGUCCUGCCCGCCAGGUACAUUCAAAGGCCCCAGUGACAACAGAUGCAAGGCCUGCAGGACAGGAGAGUACCAGCUACAGCGGGGCAAGGAGAGCUGUGAGCUGUGCCCAGAAAACCACUACUGCCCUAGCCCAGAUGUGAAGCCAGUGAAGUGCCCUCCUGAUGCCUUCUGCCCCAGGGGCAGCGUGGAGCCCUCCUACUGCAUGGAGCUCUUCCUGUACAAGGCAGGGGAGUCCUGCCAGCUGACCCCUGCCACCGUCAUUGUCCUGGCCACCUUCUCAGCAGGUGGAAUCUUUGUUGUCUUUCUAAUAAUUCUGAGAAGGCGACAAGAACAUGGCACGAAAUCCUUGAAGUCGCUGUUGCUGCCCCGGGGCUCGGGACACGCCACCUACGGGGGCACGGAGCACACAGAGCCAGUCUAUGCUGGCUGGUAGCACAGGCCAUGGCCAGCAGCCUCUCUUCCCCUGGGGCAACACAGAUGUGGCUCUGGGCAAGGUCUUUAACCAUGAGCAACUUAUUUCUGUAUAGCUAAAAUCAGGUGGGGAAUAAAAUCCAGUUUUUGAGUUGUGGCUACUUGUGC